This 249-nucleotide ribosomal RNA is filed under the name uncultured bacterium. Its description in RNAcentral is "partial 16S ribosomal RNA". It matches the Rfam family "Bacterial small subunit ribosomal RNA", at positions 524 to 773 of the family's 1533-position model. The record is from RNAcentral.
UACGUAGGGGGCGAGCGUUGUCCGGAUUUACUGGGCGUAAAGGGUGAGUAGGCGGUUAUAUAUGUCAGAUGUAAAAGGCACAGGCUUAACUUGUGUAAGCAUUUGAGACUGUAUAACUUGAGUGCAGGAGAGGUAAGUGGAAUUCCUAGUGUAGCGGUGAAAUGCGUAGAUAUUAGGAGGAACACCAGUGGCGAAGGCGACUUACUGGACUGUAACUGACGCUGAGUCACGAAAGCGUGGGUAGCAAAC